UUUAGUUUGUUUCCGCUUUUCUCGUUCAGUUUGUUGAGCCAUUUUACUCUGUUAUAUAACAGAGCAGCCUUGUAUUUUCUGAUCUAUUAAUAAAGAGAAUUCUUUUCAUCUUUUCUCUCAAUUCUUCUUUCUUCAGAUUUCUUUUUCUAACAUGGUAUCAGAGCUAUCCAUUUAGGGUUUCAAAUCCCUAAUUUCUAUUUUUUUUUUCUUCUCUUUCUAUGUUCUUUGUUCUCAAUCGUGUUCAUGGCGAAAGGUGGAUCUGGUAAUGGUAAUCGCGG
Molecule: long non-coding RNA, 278 nt
Filed under: Vitis vinifera (wine grape)
Lineage: Eukaryota; Viridiplantae; Streptophyta; Magnoliopsida; Vitales; Vitaceae
Description: long non-coding RNA (VVIN_LNC003218)
Source: RNAcentral